UUGCACUGGUCAAUCUAGUGGCGAACGGGUGAGUAACACGUGGGUAACCUGCCCAUCAGAGGGGGAUAACAUUCGGAAACGGAUGCUAAAACCGCAUAGGUCCUUUAACCGCAUGGUUGAAGGAGGAAAAGAGGCGCAAGCUUCUGCUGAUGGAUGGACCCGCGGUGCAUUAGCUAGUUGGUGAGGUAACGGCUCACCAAGGCCGUGAUGCAUAGCCGACCUGAGAGGGUGAUCGGCCACAUUGGGACUGAGACACGGCCCAAACUCCUACGGGAGGCAGCAGUAGGGAAUCUUCCGCAAUGGACGCAAGUCUGACGGAGCAACGCCGCGUGAGUGAAGAAGGUUUUCGGAUCGUAAAACUCUGUUGUUAGAGAAGAACAAGUGCUAGAGUAACUGUUAGCGCCUUGACGGUAUCUAACCAGAAAGCCACGGCUAACUACGUGCCAGCAGCCGCGGUAAUACGUAGGUGGCAAGCGUUGUCCGGAUUUAUUGGGCGUAAAGCGAGCGCAGGCGGUUCCUUAAGUCUGAUGUGAAAGCCCCCGGCUCAACCGGGGAGGGUCAUUGGAAACUGGGGAACUUGAGUGCAGAAGAGGAGAGUGGAAUUCCAUGUGUAGCGGUGAAAUGCGUAGAUAUAUGGAGGAACACCAGUGGCGAAGGCGACUCUCUGGUCUGUAACU
RNAcentral lists this ribosomal RNA (677 nucleotides) under uncultured Carnobacteriaceae bacterium. RNAcentral's name for it is "bacterial SSU rRNA". It matches the Rfam family "Bacterial small subunit ribosomal RNA", at positions 78 to 741 of the family's 1533-position model. Lineage: Bacteria; Bacillati; Bacillota; Bacilli; Lactobacillales; Carnobacteriaceae. The record is from RNAcentral.